RNAcentral lists this ribosomal RNA (254 nucleotides) under uncultured bacterium. Its description in RNAcentral is "partial 16S ribosomal RNA". It matches the Rfam family "Bacterial small subunit ribosomal RNA", at positions 524 to 776 of the family's 1533-position model. The record is from RNAcentral.
UACGAAGGGGGCUAGCGUUGUUCGGAAUUACUGGGCGUAAAGCGCGCGCAGGCGGCUUGGCAAGUCAGUGGUGAAAUCCCAGAGCUUAACUCCGGAAUUGCCUCUGAGACUGCUUGGCUUCGAGUACGGGAGAGGUGAGUGGAAUUCCCAGUGUAGAGGUGAAAUUCGUAGAUAUUGGGAAGAACACCGGUGGCGAAGGCGGCCAUCUGGCCCGUAAUUGACGCUGAGGCGCGAAAGCGUGGGGAGCAAACAGG